UGCUAAUUUUGAGAAGUAGACCUGAGGCCUUUAGCAGGAAAUAGAAAUGUAGGGAUGGACAAGGAGUCCCUGGCCUCUGUCUGGAUCACAGUCCACUUAAAUGCUUAUAGAAAUGCAGGGUUUGGGGCAUUUUAACUUUUAUGAUGCUUGAGAUAUGAAGAAACUGCCAUUAUAUACUUUGAAAAAAAACAGGCACAGUGGUACUCUGUUCCAAAGAUACUUUUGUAGACAGUGAAUGAUUUAUUAUUCCAUAUGACAUGCCCAGACCCUGAGUAAAGUUGCAUUUGAGCAGAUCACUUUAUUUUAUAUAACACGUAUACAAGCCGAGAUUUGCCCCCAAGAGGAUCAAAGGCAAGAAGCUGCGACUGAUCCAUUUGUGGUGUCACGCCGGCUCAUCUUGUGGCUCAUUCUGUUGCCAUUUGGAGGUAAUAUGGGGGACAGAGUGUUUUGAAUGAGAUUUACUUUGUAGAUUCCACCCCCCCCCCCCAAAUGUUUAUCCUUGUAUGAAGGUCAGAAAGCAUCCAUGAGUUUUUUCAGGGGCUUAAAAUAUUUUUUCCAUGUUUUUCCUUUAUCUCUAUUUUAAUAGGUAAUGUGCAUAGCACUUAAGAAAGCACAGACAAUAUUUAAGUGUAUUCACUGAGCAGCAAGUUAACCUCCCACCCCUGUCCCCCAACCAACCUCUGUUAUCAGCUGCGUUUCUCCUACCAGAAAUGACCUGCACACACACAAACAUGCGUACACACGGGUGUGAAUGUGUGUGUCUACAUACACGCUAAAGGACGUGACUGAAACAUGCUCCAUCUACUGUUCUGAGUCUUACAUUAUUUACCUGAACAUAUUUCUUUGGGAUUGAGUUGAACUACUAAAUAAAUUAGCCCAACUAGGAAACUCCCUUCUGUGAACUACAGAGUAGCAGCCAGCAGGAGCCCGGUUUGCUUUGCUUGGGACACACUUCGAUUGCUGAAGGAAAAACUCUUGCGCACUUACUCCCCCAGUUUCUUGUAGCUUUCUUCUUCAGCUCCCUUCUGGUAUUAACUUCCAUUUCCUUAUGUUUGUUCAAUGUCUUUCAUCUUUCCUUUUUUUCGCUUCCAUGACUCUGUGCUUCUCUCUCUUUUCUCUUGCAUACACUCCCUCUCUGUUUCGCCUUGGCCCCCUAAGAGCCGUUCUUGCUUCCUCUGACGUGUUCUCAUUUCUUUCUGGCGACCUUUCUUCUCCCUAAAGAAUUAGUCUGGCUUUGCAUGAGGCAGCCCCUUCAUGUCAGUGAUUGACACAACAUGUUCUUUUUGGCAAUUUAAGGUUUUCCUUUUUGGUAAAAUAUAUUAGUUCAAGAGGGUUCUGCUUGGCACUGGUGUUAUUUCUGGUCUGCAGGGAAGUGUUGCUCAUCCUUCCAGCUUUCCAGCUGGGUGGAACAGAAAGAGGUUGAAGUGACUUGUCCAGCAUGUCAGGAAGGAAGUCAGCAAUUAGGCGAAAUCAGGAUUCGUGGUCAUCCUGUCCCCCUUAUGCCAACAACAAGCAGUUGUCUAUGAGAGACAGAGAGACAGAGAGAAGGGAGAAGCGAAUAGUCAUAGGAGCAAAAAGAAGGGGAGAUGAGAAACACUGAAAACACGUGAGAAAAUGGAAGUUCAUAAUGGAAGGGAGCUUCUGCAGGCAGGCCCAGCAGCCAGAAGGAGGUUGCUGCAGAUGCAGAGGACUCUGUGUGCCUGUAAUCCUUGAGGACGAAGGAUUUCCUCUCCCUCUGUCCUUGCACAGACCCUGCAUUCACACAUCAGUUACAAGUGCCGCCUUCGUGGGCCCAGGGGCCAAGAGCGUUGCGGACCAGAGGAGAAGGGGCUUGUUGGUGGAAAGGGGCCGGAUAGGAGAAGCAGGACCUGGGGCAGGAGAGAAGUCUGAGAUGGGUCCCCAGUGCUCAGGACAGAGCCCGGCACACAUCCCAGGAGACCCAGUCUUCCAGCCACCCCAACCAAGGUGCCAGACAUGUGAGUGAAGCUGUCCUGGAUGUUCCAGACCAGCCUAUUUGCCAGCUGAGUACCACUGAGUGACCUCCGCCAAUGCCAUGAGGAGCAGAAGAAUCAUGCAGCUGAGCUCUGCUUGCAUUCCUGGCUGUGAAACAUGAUAAAAUUGUUGUCCUUUUAGGCCACUAGGUUUGGAGGAGGUUUUUCAUGCAGUAAUCAUAACAGGAAUACUCUACUCGAAAACCCCAAGGCUGGUUGAACCCAAUCAUCUUCCUUCUGUGUUCCUAUUCUGGAGUAGCUGGAGAAAAUCACAAAGUAGGGAUGACUGGCUUUGUUUUAAAAUUCAAACAGACGCCAUGCCUAAUCACCCUGCUAUGCUUGUCUGGUGAGCUUGCUGCUUCCAGAUUCAUCUAUUUCAUACAUUUCCUCUUGCCUCAAAUCCAGGCAGCUGGAUAUAUGAGUCUGUAGUUCAGGGGAAAGGUUGAGGAUAAAGAUAAAAUUUUGAGAGUCACCAGAGACUAACUGACAUUUGAAGCUAUGAAUCUGGAUGAUAUCACUAGGCUGGAGUGUGAAUGGGGAAGAGAAGGGAGUCAAGGACCAGUCCUCCAGCUCUCCAAGGUUUAGGGAUCCAGAAGAGGAAGCCCACAACGUGGAUCGAGAAAGAUGGCCAUGGGGUUGGAGUGAAACCUGGGAAGGAUAGUAUUCCAAAGACCAAGAGAUAAGAGAGAUUCAGAGGCAAGUCCUUGAGUAGGUGAAAGGAGAUAAGGGAAAGAAUGGACAGGCGGGAUUGGUCUCUGACACCUGGAGCUUCCUCCACGGCAAUAGACAGUGACAGGGAGAAGGUGUGUGCACACGCUCCUGGAUUCUAGGUUAGAUGGCAGUGGGGUGAGGGCACUCCCCAUUAAUGCUGUUGACUUUCUCUGCGAAAGUGUGCAUGUCUAAUAGGCAUUUCAGCCUCAAUAUGUCUAAAACUCAACUCCUUCCUCGCCUCCAAUCCUUCUUGCCCCUGGGACUUCCCCAGCUCGGUUAAUGGUGUCACCAUCCACCCAGCUGCUUUGACUAGAAGCACGUGGUUCCUCACUGUCUCUCACACCCCAUAUCCAAUCCAACAGUAAGUCCUUCUGGAUUUACCCCAAAAGGUGCCUCACAUCUGAGCCCUUCCCACUGUUCCUGUCACCUUGUUCCAGUACCUGAUUACUGCUCUUCUCAAUCUCCUGCCCUGUUUCCCCUAACCCAUGAUCUACAGUGCUCUAAAAGGAGAGAAAUUUAAAAACCAAAAAUCCAAUUUAACAAACUCUCCAGUGGUUUCCAUCAUACUUAAAAUAAGAUUCCAACUCCACAGGCACCAGUGGGCAUUGAUUUUGGGUUUAGUAAACAUUGGAUUUGGUAAAUAGAUGACUCAGCUAGAGAAAAAGGAAGCUGAGACCCUGACGAUUGCCUCCUCAAAAUAGACAGGUCCUAAAACCCAGGUUACCAUUGGAAUUAUUUUUGUAGUUGUGGCUUAGUUUAGGGCUAUUCCAGCCCAUGAAUGAGGUCUUGUUAGACAGUGGGACAGACUCUUGUCUAAACAGUCCUGUGAGAAAAUAGUCCUGCGGCCUGGUAAGUCUGCUACCUGCCCUCUCCCAUCAUCAGGCCUGUGCUCACCAGCUGGGGCCACUAAGUCCUUUGCAGGAUAAACUACAUUUAAAUUUCACAAUUUAGGCUCCCCACUAGCCCCCCACUGAUACCACCCUGGAUGGCUUGCCUUGUUACUGUCCCCUGCGUGGCUGCCACUGACCAUGAGGAACAUGGCCUCGUUAUGGCUGAGCUAUGGUGAAAGCCCUGACUCUCCCCUGGGAUCCUGCCACCACCUCAGUGAGGAGGGGGAGAGCUGCCUUGUUAUUGCAGGUGGGGGUGGAAGUCCGGGUGCCCCGCACGGUCUCCACUGACACAGGAGGGAGGUGUGGGGGUAUAGGAAGAGAGGCUUGUCACUGCCCAGUGGGUUAAAAGUCUUUGCACCUGAUUCAGCCUUCUCUGACAGCACCCGGGCGACAGGGUUGGGGCCUUGUUACACUUUGGUGAGGGUGGAAGUCUAGGCCAUUGAACCUUUGCUGGCAGAGGCGUUUGGGGGCUCAGUUUCUUCUGUGGUGUCUGGCUGGAGUAGAGUGUUAUUGUCUAACAGCUCCCUGUCUUGAUGGGCUGUCCCUGUCCUGGCCCUUUGACUAGGGAGAGAGGCUUUUCUUGCAGGUUAUUUCUGUCUGUGCCCAUUGGUAUUUCUGGAUUGACGAAACACGCAGAUGUCCACUACAGAGUUAGAAGCUUGCUCGUGAUGGAGCUGGGGCCCAGAUGCUGGAACUCGCUUUCAACAUGGUUCUAAUCCUCACCUAAAGGUGUUGAAAAAGAAGUAUAUUAGAGGCCCCCAAAGACACUUAAGAGCAGAAGACUGCCCUCGUUACCAGGUGUAUUCAGAAAGGUUUCAUGAACUCUAGUCUUCAGGGUGUCUACACAACAGGGCUCCUGGCAGUGAUCAUGGCCCACACAGCAGGAUUCUGACCACAGAUUAAUUUUGAGAAGAGCAAGACUAUAAAAGGAAACCUCCAAGAACCUUCCAGGGGUGCCCUAGAGUAAGUUGUGAUGCUGGACAAGCAAUGCUCAAAAGAAGACGGCACUGAGCUUAGCUGCCGUUCUAAAAUUUUAAAAACAUUUCUGAAAAAAAAAAAAACCCAAACAAAACCGGUUGUAUACUGAGGCAGUUGCCCCAGUUCCACCAGCCAUGUUUUGCCUCAGAACACUCCAGCAACACUCUUGUCACCCCUAAGCCCUUUAUCCUCAGGAGAGGGCUAUUCCUUCAGCAGAGCAGCCACCCCUCACAGACAUGGCUGUGGUCCCACAUUAACGCUCCAAGUUGACACUUUGUUGAGUUGUCAGCUGGCAGUCAAGCUGCUGAAUCCUCCACUUGGGGGUCCUCAGCGUUUCUUUUUCUAGAGUCCGACUUUUGGGUGGUGUGGACUGUGCUUCACACAAUCAGGUAAACCCUUUUAGCUUUAACUUUUAAAAUCAGGUAAGUGGCAGUCCUAGAGUUGAGAAAUUGACUGUGAAUGUAAUACGUUUCCCCCUCUCUACUUUGGGAAUGAAUUCUGGGAGGCUGGCUAUUUAAAGAUAGACUGUUGGGGUCUUUGGAACUGUCAAUAGGAAGCUGUCAUUUAAAGAUAAUCUCUUCUGAUUGGACUUGGAAGGUUUUAGUGGAACUUAAAUUUCACUAAGGCUAUUUGUCCAGUUGUGUCUGAAACCUACUACGCAAAUCCCAGGUAGCAGGCGUGGCAAUUCCAGGAAGAUGAUCCAAGUGCACACUCUAUGGAAGUCCCAGUAGCGAUGUUCUCAGGGAGACUUGGUCUAGCUGAGCAGAUAGGACCUCAAGGUAUGAAAAGCUGAAUGAUGAUAAAGGAUUUAAAUAGUUUGAAACCAAUGGGUGCCACGUGAUUGACUGGUUGAUGACUUGUACAUGUUACACUUUGCAGGAAGGAGAGAACGCUUUCCAGUCUGGAGAAGCUGGACUUUGAGCUGGUGCAGGGAGGAAACGAGGGUGGGAUUUGGAAACCUGGAGGGCCAGAGGAGGCAGCCCGGAUAUGCGGGAGGCAUAUUUCCAGCAGAGGUAAAAGCGUGGAUGUUGGAACCUGCCCGGGGCCCUCUCAGGCAGUGAGAAGACCAAUCUGACCAGGGCAGUGGGUCAGGUCAACUGAGCCAAGGAGAGAAGUGGGGGCUGGGUUGUGGAGAGCUUUGAAAAUUGGUUGGCUUUAAUAAUCAGUUGAUACUUAUUGAUCACUUACUGGGAGCCAUGCAAUGUUCUAAGCCUUUCACAUGUGUUUUAAUUCUCAUAUUGUUGUUGUUAUUGUCAACACCUUUCUGUAGCUGAGGAAACUGAGAAGCAGGAUGCUUAAGUGACUUGCUCAGUCAGAGUAAGAGCGAGGAGCAGGGUGUGAACCCAGGCCAGCUCUGCUCUACUGGCUCUGGUUAGGGUUAAGCAGUUUAACUGGCCCUGUUGACAAAUCUGGCACAUGGCUUCUCAGCGAGGGCCAGGUUAGUAUUGGCUUACGGUGAAUAUGUACCUCGGAGUGCUAUUGGAUGCCCAGACUUUUCCUGCGACGGCACUUGCAUCUCGUCCUGGGGGAUCCUGGAAAGGCAUUUACCAAGUGUCCCAGUCAUCUAAGUCCAGGCACAGCGGGAAGAGUGAGAUGCGUUAACUCCCCCUAAGUGAUUUUGGAGGUGAAGGGCUCUGAUCUAGUUGUGUGGAAUCUCACACUGAGCCCAAACAAGCCUGUCUGUGUCCCACCAGUGGGGUUGCGGCAUCAACUAGGUGAAUCACAUUCAUUUGUUCUGUCAUUUGUUCACUCAGCGAGCAUUAGUUGAGUGCCGUACACGUGUCAGGAGCUGAGCAGGAUGUGAGGAAUACAGGCAAACUACCCUCAGGUAGAUUAACUUUAAUUAAUGAGAUGAUUUCAGAUGGCUGUGUGAUGUCAGUGGAACAGAGUGAUGUCAUAAGGAGUCAAAUAGGUGGUGGGGAGAGGCCUGAGCUCAUGACAUGCAGGAUGGACCUGAAGGAUUCAAGGGAGAUGGCAAGGGGAAGAACAGGGCAGACAGUCUCAGCAGAAGCAACAGGAAGAGCAAAGCCCCUGUGGGGAGAAUGAGCCUGAUGAGUUGGGGAAAAAAAGGCCAGGGUGGUGGAGAAGACAAGUGGGGAAGAGCAACAGGACAUGGAAGCUCUGAGGGGGUGUGGUCAGCCAGGGCCUGGUAGAGUUUGUGGUAAGGAGUGUGGACUUUAUCCCAUACGUGAGGGGAAGUCACUGAGAUUUUCAAUCCCAGGAACAAGAAGACUCACUUAAUUAGCAUGUGUCUAGAGGGGUUUAAACAAAUUUUGUCCAAUUGCCCUCCUGGUGCAAGUCCCUGGUGACACAUAUCUGUUGUUACAGGCAGUGGUUGGGUAGGAGGUGGGGGCACUUCCAUGAAGAGCCCUCUAAGGCAGGACAGAGAGUAGGGAGCCCUGACUGAGAAGACCAGAGAAACCAGGAUUCUGAGGGAGCAGCUCUUGGAAAUAGCAGAUGAGGCCUCUUGUAGUUUUUUGACACACUUCACAUGGGGAGGCGGGAUCCAUGUCCCCAUCUCUUGAAUCUGGGCACGUCUGUGACUGGAUAGAGUGUAGUAGAGUGACGCUACGAGACUUCUGAGGCUGGGUCAUAAAAAUCAAUGCAGCUGGAACAUGCACUCUCGGAGCCCUGAGCUGUCAUGCAGGAGUCAGGAUUUCCUGAGUCAGCCAUGCUGGGGAGGCCACAUGGGCUAGCAACAGUCCCAAGCUGAGCCUUGUGUUUCAACUAUUUCUGCCAAGGUGCAGGAGAGUGAAGCCAUCCGCUAGUUGAGUACCACUGAGUAACUUUCAUGGCUGUCUCACAAGACAGAAGAAUCGUUCUGCUGAGCCCUACCCAAAUUCCUGCCAAUAAAACCUUACCGGUAAAAUCAUGAGAUACAACAAAAUAACCACUUGUUUAAAGCCACUAAAUUUGGGGGUAGUUUAUUAAGGAGCAAUAGUAACUGGAAUGAGGUCCUGUUGCUACUGGCCCUGCCACUCUUCUUCACCCCAGCCUGAGGGAGGAGAUCUCCUUGAGGAAGCCUGGAGAAUAUGAUCCUUUGUUACAUUCAACGCCAAGGAGAUAGACUCUCCCACCCGUUACUUGGAAACAGAGUGUUGUGGAGGCGGGGAUUGGCUAGCCAACUCAGCUGCCAGAUUUACCUGCAAGUUGAGAUCCUCAGAUAAAUUGCCAUUUUAGGUCCCUUACUAUAAACCGGCAUUCCAUCCAGAAGACCAGCUUCUUCAACCAUGGCUGACAUGCGGGUUAUGGCCAGUGCCCAGAGGAGGGCAGUGGUGUGCCCCAUGGCCAGCAGCUAGCAGGGAGGGCCAUCAUACACGUUUCUUGGGGUCGUUUCUCAGGGACUUUCCACGAAAACAUAGAGUGUUUCAAAGACCCUCAGCUACCUUUGGAGGCAAAUGCCUUAGGCCACAAAUCACCAACUGCAGAAUGCUCACUCCAGAGGUGCUGCAAGACCCUAGUUGGUUCCGGCUUCUGUGUCAUCUUGUUUUUGAGAACUGAUUCCAUUCUGAGACAAAACACAUGAGUCUUGUUUCCAAAUAAAAGAAAUCAAAAUUCAUAGCCUUUCCUCAUAAUGAAAGUUUGAGAAAAGGAAAAGCUGCGUUGGUCCCAGGCAGGGUUGGGUGAUCUCUGGUUUGGCAUCUUUUCUGUAAGUCACAAAACGAAUUUAUAAAUGAGUGCUUAAGAAAACCCCAAAACAAAAGAGAAAAACUUCUUUGGCAAAACGAGAGUGGGAGUGGAGCUGUCUCGCUCUGGGGCAGCCUCUUAGAGGAUCCCAUGCGCGAUUCCCAGCGGCAAUGGGAACUGAGUUUCCUUCAUUUCAUCUAUGUUUUAUAAUUGGCUCUUAAAUUGGCCAUGGGAUCUUAUCCUCAUUUCCAAAGAUGAGGGGCCCUGCCCUCGCCCAAAGGCAGGAAGGCGAGCCAGAAGUCAGAGCUGAAUGGAGUUCCCUGUGGCUCUUCCUCCUGGCAAGUGGUUAAGAACCAUGGGAGACCCUUCGGCCCUCCUCAAACCCCGAGUUCCACAGUCACUGCAGGUGACUGCAGCGUCUCUCAGAGAAGAACAGGAAGUACAAACAGGUAGAGACUGACAAUGGGGAUUCAUUGACUACCUUUGGUCUUUUUCCUUUUAAUCUCUCUUAUACUUUAUUAGUUAUUGUUAAAUACUUUUGGGAGCAUAUUUGAGUUUGGCUAUUAAACUAGCUUUUCAAGAAUAUUCAUAUAUAAAGUGUGUGCAUGUAUUACUAUUAUUUUUAUCUCAAUUUUCUGCUGCUUGCUAAUUCCAAGUUGGAAUUCUUUAUUUGGUAAUUAGCAAAGUGUCGAUACUAAGAGGAUUUUAUGGAAUUAAAAAAAAUUGAAACCAAUAACAUGGAUUUCCCAAUUCUUGA
Equus caballus (horse) is the source of this 8954-nucleotide long non-coding RNA. RefSeq lists it as uncharacterized. Lineage: Eukaryota; Metazoa; Chordata; Mammalia; Perissodactyla; Equidae. The record is from RefSeq and is a predicted model, not a curated record.